UAGAGUUUGAUUAUGGCUCAGAACGAACGCUGGCGGCAUGCCUAACACAUGCAAGUCGAACGAGACCUUCGGGUCUAGUGGCGCACGGGUGCGUAACGCGUGGGAAUCUACCCUUGGGUUCGGAAUAACAGCGAGAAAUUGCUGCUAAUACCGGAUGAUGACGUAAGUCCAAAGAUUUAUCGCCCAAGGAUGAACCCGCGUAGGAUUAGCUAGUUGGUGAGGUAAAGGCUCACCAAGGCGACGAUCCUUAGCUGGUCUGAGAGGAUGAUCAGCCACACUGGGACUGAGACACGGCCCAGACUCCUACGGGAGGCAACAGUGGGGAAUAUUGGACAAUGGGCGAAAGCCUGAUCCAGCAAUGCCGCGUGAGUGAUGAAGGCCUUAGGGUUGUAAAGCUCUUUUACCCGAGAUGAUAAUGACAGUAUCGGGAGAAUAAGCUCCGGCUAACUCCGUGCCAGCAGCCGCGGUAAUACGGAGGGAGCUAGCGUUGUUCGGAAUUACUGGGCGUAAAGCGCACGUAGGCGGCU
This 527-nucleotide ribosomal RNA is filed under the name uncultured bacterium. RNAcentral's name for it is "bacterial SSU rRNA". It matches the Rfam family "Bacterial small subunit ribosomal RNA", at positions 1 to 580 of the family's 1533-position model. The record is from RNAcentral.